GAGUGCGGGACUGGGGCUCCUGGCUGUGGGUGUGGUACCGAGGCUUCAGCGGGUGCCGCCCGCCUAGAGGGAGUGGAGCGGUGAGCACGUCAGGGGUGGGGGGCGCAGGUCAAGCUUUCACCAGUUUUUAAUUCUUUGAUGGGGUAAAUUUGAGCAAUUUUCUCGACUUGUCGACAUUCGUUAUUAACUGAGCAGGAAUCAGGAGAGGAACCCGGUCCUCUCCACACAGCCCAGCAGGUACGCCGCCCAUGUGCCUGUGGAGAAGAGAGGUUCCUGUGGGGCAGACAGGUGUGGACCAAGUAGCUGCGAAAUUUCUUCUGAAGAAAACACACAAGGGGGAAGCGAGUGAGCUCAGUGGAGGAGGGGCGCUACCCCAGGGGACGUCCCCAUGCAUGGGCUUGUGAACCUCGAAUAUGUGAGACGGUCUCAGUCAAUUUAGAAAGUUUAUUUUGCCAAGGUUGAGGACGCACGCCCGUGACACAGCCUCAGGAGGUCUUGACAUGUGCCAAAGGUGGCCGGGACACAGCUUGCUUUUAUACAUGUUAGGGAGACAGGAGACAUCAAUAUAUGUAAGAUGAACGUUGGUUCCCUCGGGAAAGGCGGGACAACUCGAAGCAGGGAGGGGGCUUCCAGGUCACAGAGAGCCUACGACUAGAUUUGCAUCUUUACGUCCUGCGCGGAGGCUGCUACACACAUGCAGAAGUCAUGCUGGUGGCCUGGACAGUGAAGGGAGAGAAGUGGAUUUGGGAGACAUUUAGGAGAUGGCACCAAAAGCGAAGGAAGCUCCUGCUCAUCCUAAAGCCGAAGCCAAAGCGAAGGCUUUAAAGGCCAAGAAGGCAGUGUUGAAAGGUGUCCGCAGCCACACGCAAAAAAGAAGAUCCGCAUGUCACUCACCUUCAGGCGGCCCAAGACACUGCGACUCCGGAGGCAGCCCAGAUAUCCUCGGAAGAGCACCCCCAGGAGAAACAAGCUUGGCCACUAUGCUAUCAUCAAGUUUCCGCUGGCCACUGAGUCGGCCGUGAAGAAGAUAGAAGAAAACAACACGCUUGUGUUCACUGUGGAUGUUAAAGCCAACAAGCACCAGAUCAGACAGGCUGUGAAGAAGCUCUAUGACAGUGAUGUGGCCAAGGUCACCACCCUGAUUUGUCCUGAUAAGGAGAACAAGGCAUAUGUUCGACUUGCUCCUGAUUAUGAUGCUUUCGAUGUUGUAACAAAAUUGGGAUCACCUAAACUGAGUCCAGCUGGCUAACUCUAAAUAUAUGUGUAUCUUUUCAGCAUAAAAAAAUAAUGUUUUUCAUAAGAAUGACAACUUAAUUAGAAUCAAAUCUAUAAGCUUUAAGAUUUUACGUUUCUAGUAAGUAUAAUAUUAGCUUAUUUGACUAGAACUCAAGCAGAAUAGGAAUUUAUGCUUGUUUUAUAUUCAAUAAUGAUAAUUUUGAAGAUAUAGUUGUUUUAUUACACCAAAAAUACUAUAUUAAUCUUAUUUAACUAAGUUUUAUCCAAAUCAUGUUAACUUAAGAAACAUUUGAUCAGUUCCUAUA
Molecule: long non-coding RNA, 1541 nt
Organism: Homo sapiens (human)
Lineage: Eukaryota; Metazoa; Chordata; Mammalia; Primates; Hominidae
Gene: RPL23AP7
Product: ribosomal protein L23a pseudogene 7
Source: Ensembl